This 457-nucleotide ribosomal RNA is filed under the name uncultured bacterium. RNAcentral's name for it is "bacterial SSU rRNA". It matches the Rfam family "Bacterial small subunit ribosomal RNA", at positions 1 to 497 of the family's 1533-position model. The record is from RNAcentral.
UUUAGAGUUUGAUUCCUGGCUCAGAACGAACGCUGGCGGCAGGCUUAACACAUGCAAGUCGAACGAGAAAAUGUAGCAAUACAUGAGUACAGUGGCAGACGGGUGCGUAACACGUGGGAAUCUCCCCUUUAGUUCGGAACAACCGCGGGAAACUGCGGCUAAUACCGGAUACGGACUACGGUCGAAAGAUUUAUCGCUAAAGGAUGAGCCCGCGCUGGAUUAGCUAGUUGGUAGGGUAACGGCCUACCAAGGCAACAGUCCAUAGCUGGUCUGAGAGGACGACCAGCCACACUGGGACUGAGAUACGGCCCAGACUCCUACGGGAGGCAGCAGCGAGGAAUAUUGGACAAUGGGCGAAAGCCUGAUCCAGCCAUGCCGCGUGAGUGAUGAAGGCCUUAGGGUUGUAAAGCUCUUUCGGCGGGGAAGAGAAUGACGUACCCGCAGAAGAAGCCCCGGC